AACCAGAUCAUUCUUAGGAGCAGUGCCCAGACCCAAAUCCAACAGCAUCUCACUCUUCUGACUUGGCAGAGACUCUCUGAUGGGGAGCUCUGAAGGGAAAGUCAUGUUCUGCAGGACUGUGGGUGCUCUGGACUGACACUUUGGGGAGUGAAUUCAAGAUCCUCAGAAACCCAGGUCCCCAAAGUCAGACCCAUGAGAAUUUCUCAGAGGCCCAUGAAACUUAAAGAGGUCAGGGACAGCACCCAAGAACAUGACUCUGAGACAUACUUGGAGCCCACAAAGGCCUACCUGACCCUAUCCCUACUUCCACUCCCACCCACUUCACAGAUGGGGAAACUGAGGCCUGGAGAAAACAGAGCAAUGGCUCAAGAUCACCAUGCAAGUCAGAGGCUGAGCUGUCUUCUGGCUGGCUGGCUUCCUUCCCACUGCAUUCCGCUUGCCCUCCGUGAGCAUUCCAAGGCACCGUGUAACAGGAAAGGAAGUGUCAGCAGGCCAGCUCACCACACAUAGCCCUCCUGCUUGUAGUCAAACUCCAUGAGCCUGCUUUUUCCAGCCAGGAUGCGGACCAGAUUACCAAACCCAGCAUUUACUUCUAUUUUCCAAGAACGAAGUCAGCAGUUUUACUCUGAGUAAAGUGCUCAGAGACCCUGGACCCCCUCAUGUGCUUCAAGGUCUCCUCCUGGGCUGCCUUAGUAUCUUGAAGUUUCAGAGGCCUCCGGGGCCCAGGACCACCAAGAGAGGCUUGCAAGACCCCGAGAGCCAAAGAUGAGGACUGAGAAAAGAGAAUGGUCAUCCUGACUGACACAGAGCACACCGGACACAUGACUGUUUCCUGGAGACUUGUCAUGUGGGUCACCCACUGGCCCAGCAUCUUCUUGAUCUAUAGUUGGGAGAGCACUAUGACCCUGUGCAGUGAUGGCAGAUACCAUCAUGGUACCUACUGCAGUGUGUGUGUGUGCGUGUGUGUGUGUGUGUACACAUGUAGUGCCCAUGUACUAAAUAAGUAAGUGUAAAGAAAAAAAUUAAGAGCAGAUCCAAUGAGCAGAGGGAGCCGGGAAGCCUGGAAGUGCAGUUUCUAGUAUUCUGAGAGGCCUGUGGGUAGCAGGGUGACCUUUCCCCUGGGACUGUGAGAAUGGAAUCCCCAUACAUCCCUGUCUGGCUCUUGGUAGAUGAGGAGGGGCAGACCAACUACAGUCACAGCCAAGGAGAAGGCUGCCAUCAUGGUCAGAGAAGCACCCUCUGCCGCCAGAACUUUUUCUUCUUGCUGGAUCCAUGUGUGGUUUCCUACCCAGACCUGUACGGUGUAGGCAGAGUUAUUUACAAACAUGCCUCUCCUAGUGAGCUCCAGUUCACGCUGCAAUACCUAAAGCCUUUGCUUGCAUAAAUAUGGGGGCCUGUCGUAAUAAAUCACUUGUUAUUCUC
Molecule: non-coding RNA, 1422 nt
Organism: Rattus norvegicus (Norway rat)
Lineage: Eukaryota; Metazoa; Chordata; Mammalia; Rodentia; Muridae
Source: RefSeq, a predicted model, not a curated record